Molecule: ribosomal RNA, 236 nt
Filed under: uncultured bacterium
Lineage: Bacteria
Description: partial 16S ribosomal RNA
Rfam family: Bacterial small subunit ribosomal RNA
Source: RNAcentral
AGCGAACGCUGGCGGCAGGCUUAACACAUGCAAGUCGAGCGGGCGUAGCAAUACGUCAGCGGCAGACGGGUGAGUAACGCGUGGGAACGUACCUUUUGGUUCGGAACAACACAGGGAAACUUGUGCUAAUACCGGAUAAGCCCUUACGGGGAAAGAUUUAUCGCCGAAAGAUCGGCCCGCGUCUGAUUAGCUAGUUGGUGAGGUAACGGCUCACCAAGGCGGCGAUCAGUAGCUGG